Pantherophis guttatus is the source of this 628-nucleotide long non-coding RNA. RefSeq lists it as uncharacterized. NCBI's taxonomy places the organism in Eukaryota, Metazoa, Chordata, Lepidosauria, Squamata, Colubridae. The record is from RefSeq and is a predicted model, not a curated record.
CCAUAGAAACAGAAUACUACUCAUUCUUCGAAGAACUUCACUGACACUAUAUUUAUGUAUACAAUGUCUUGAUCCAUGGAUAUCUGCCAAAUUCAUUAACAGAAACAAGAACUUGAAAGCCGUAAACAUCGAGAGGCUUUUUGAAGGAUGACUGAAUUUGUUAAUCUACUAGAACUGUCAGAAAAACUACCUCAAUUAACAGCAAACUUCAAGAAACUGAAUGACAGAUUCAUGGCUUUCCUGAACAUUGAAACAAAAAUGCAAAAAACAAAAACAGAAACUACAAAAUUAAUCAAUACUUGCAGUUACAGAAAUUUAAAAUCAUUAUUUAGAAGUAAAAAACAGCAUGGGAAAUACAAGACUGUGAAAAAUAAACCUUGCAAUAAAGCUAAGAAAGAGAGAAACAAAGGUAAAAUUGCAUAUUUCUUAGAACUGUUUAGGAAACUGAGCUCCUGGAGUAUCAGACAUAAACAAACAAUUGAUGAAGAUCAGGAACUGAUUCCACUAGAUUUAUUUGAUAUUUCUCACGAGAUAAUUCAAGUUACCUGAUAUUCUGUUUUCCUUUCUAAUUUAAUGUUAUAAACAUUAUGAUUUUUUUAAAAAAAAUAAAAUAACACAUUAAUUUGAA